UUACAUGAUCGAACUGAAUAUUUAGGUAGACUCCACCCUCUAUGAUUCUAGGUCAGUGACGCGGACUUAAUCACCUCACGUACGCAUAGCUCCGCCCACAUCUGACUCUGGAUCGGUGCACGAAAAUACUGGAGAGAAGCCUGAAGUCGAAGCCAUCAUGGCCGCCAGCUCCGACUCCCUCCCGUUGGGGGAGAUUGAACGGGCUGUAACGGCAGGUGUGCGGGCUGAGGCUCCGCUUUAAACUGCCGUUCUGUCGUAAACACCAUUAAUGAGGAGUCAAGUAGGUUUAAAAAGAAUAUUUCUGUGGCGCCGGUGGAGAAUUAGUUGGCUAACUAUACUAGCUAGCCGAAGUUACGUCCAGGCUAAAAACAAAAGUUUCCAGAUCAGAUGUGGGCGGGGUUUGCGCGCACUGUUUGAGGUGAUUGAGUUCGCGUGUCUGAUCUUAGACCUGCGCUGUUUGACGGUAGGGGUGGAGUCUACUUGCCCAUUCAUGAAUAUUCAGUUUACACUCGGCGAACAUUUAACAUUUACAUUUAACAUUUACAUUUAACAUUUACAUUUAACAUUUAGGUUUAACAUUUAACAUUUACAUUUAGACUUUUGCACGUUUAACUAAAUGUGAGAAAACAUGUUGUGUCAUUAAGUUAAAAGUGAGAAACUAGUUAUAGGUGCUCCUUUUACAUUCGGCACCCCAUAGUGAUGCCUCUGAUGGACACAGAUCUGAGACAGAGACAAUGUCCUUCGUCUUCUCCUCUGUUAGAGAGCAGGUAGGAAGUCUCCCAUGUACCACAUAUCUGCCAAAGCUCUUGUGUUUGUACUCGGACAACACCGAUGCUUUUGCCUCUAAAUAGGAGUGUGUCACAUCUACCUCAAUAGGUUCACAAGAUUCAACACAUCAUUGCAUUGUGUUUCAAGGAGGUCUCUGCGGAACACGUGCACAUGGAAGGUUUUCCUACUAGAUGGAGGUCAACACCACUGAUUAUGUGAAGAGUCUCCCAAACCCAGCAGCACAGAGGGAGCAGUGAUAAAGACACUUCCUCUACGUGGUUGGGACUGGGAGACUCCCCUCUGUCGGGACCGGAGGCUGGAGGGAGCAAAGAGCUGAAGGAUGCUAGAAGAAACAUCACAAACAGAUGUGUUGUUAACAUACCAGUCUGCAUUGAGAUGUUAAGCUUAUCACCACUUUACUACUCAGGUGAUUACUUACAGCAUUGAGCCUCCGUAUGCACGGCUGACAACUUCUCUCCAGGUAGCUAUGGUGUCUGUUGUGUCCAUCCUCCACAGCUGCACCUGUCGCAACCAAAAUGAAAACAUUGGCUUCAGGAGUACAUGACGUAAAGUACAGACUACGAAUAAGCCACGAUAUGUCAUUCUUACUGAAUGUAAUUGUGCAGCCGUAGUUCCUGCAAUCGCUCUGACAUCUCCUUGGACUGCAGGACCAUGGUCCAGAUCGGUCGUCUCUGGUAAAGUGAAAGCAUUAGAAUGCAGAGGACGUGCCGUAGCAAAGUUGAUCGCCACACCCCUUUGAGGAAGCGCAUAGCCGUGAUCCACCGAGGAAUCAAACGUCACGGUCACUGAAUCCACUGUAACAGCAAAACUGGCUAACUCGUCCUCGUAGUGGAGUUCAACCAUACGUUUGAUCCAAAAUCUGAGUCUGAAGUCGAAUGGGAGGCUGUGCAAGUGGUUACACUUCGACUGGCCCAAGUCGUUGCAGGUAUCUAGUCUAGAGAAGUCUUGUUAGCUGGUGCUGGGGACUUCUAGGGCAAAGAGUCCAAGCUGUCCCAUCCCAUCUUCCCUGGUCCUGUGGAUCAGGGCAGUGUUUCCUGUUGGACUUAGACCACCUGUGAAAUAAAUAAAUUACUGUUUUCGUUGCAAUACCUCAAUAAAAGUUGAAAUAUUAUAAAACAUUUGUCUGUUUUCCCCUCAUUAAAAAAUAGUUCGGUGAAACAGCAAUAGUCAAAGCUAACUUUAUUGUCAACCAAUGCACCAGCACUAUAAUGCUGAAUAAGUUACCUUCACAAUUUAAUGUGCAGGUAGAGUAGCCUGAUGGAUUAAUGAAAGGAAGUAGGGUAAACAGACCACAAAAUGAAUGGGUAGGAUUCAUAGUUAUG
Long non-coding RNA from Betta splendens (Siamese fighting fish), 2111 nucleotides. RefSeq lists it as uncharacterized. The record is from RefSeq and is a predicted model, not a curated record. Lineage: Eukaryota; Metazoa; Chordata; Actinopteri; Anabantiformes; Osphronemidae. The transcript has 4 exons.